This 252-nucleotide ribosomal RNA is filed under the name uncultured bacterium. RNAcentral describes it as "partial 16S ribosomal RNA". It matches the Rfam family "Bacterial small subunit ribosomal RNA", at positions 524 to 776 of the family's 1533-position model. The record is from RNAcentral.
UACGUAGGGGGCAAGCGUUGUCCGGAAUUAUUGGGCGUAAAGCGCGCGCAGGCGGCCUUGUAAGUCUGGUGUUUAAGCUCGGGGCUCAACCCCGAUACGCACCGGAAACUGCAAAGCUUGAGUGCAGAAGAGGAAAGUGGAAUUCCACGUGUAGCGGUGAAAUGCGUAGAGAUGUGGAGGAACACCAGUGGCGAAGGCGACUUUCUGGGCUGUAACUGACGCUGAGGCGCGAAAGCGUGGGGAGCAAACAGG